CAGCCGCCACGGUAAUACGGAGGGUGCAAGCGUUAAUCGGAAUUACUGGGCGUAAAGCGCACGCAGGCGGAUUGUUAAGUCAGAUGUGAAAUCCCCGAGCUUAACUUGGGAACUGCAUUUGAAACUGGCAAGCUAGAGUCUUGUAGAGGGGGGUAGAAUUCCAGGUGUAGCGGUGAAGUGCGUAGAGAUCUGGAGGAAUACCGGUGGCGAAGGCAGCCCCCUGGGCCAACACUGACGCUCAUGCACGAAAGCGUGGGGAGCAAACAGGAUUAGAUACCCCGGUAGUCCCUGUCUCUUAUAC
Molecule: ribosomal RNA, 301 nt
Filed under: uncultured bacterium
Lineage: Bacteria
Description: partial 16S ribosomal RNA
Rfam family: Bacterial small subunit ribosomal RNA
Source: RNAcentral